CUUCAUCUCCCGGCCGCCCGACUUCCUCCCCGCACAUUCCUGCACUCCGCCCGCCCGCGUUGCCCGCGCACCCGGUGCCCGAGCCCCCCGCUGGCCUCCCCCCGCCCCAGGCCCCCGGGGCUGGGCCUUGCCACGGUGACACCAGGAGGUGGCCCUGGGCUGGGGGCAGGGAGCUCCCUCCCGGCUGCACGGCCCUGACACCUGUCGGGCCACCUGUCGGGGGUGGCCAGGCCCCCCGGCGUCCCACCGCGGUGCUGCCUCUGCCCCCAGCCCCGCUGGCCCCCCGGAUGCCCGGCUGAGACCCGGCAGCGGCCCCACCUGCCCACGCCUCCGCCUGGCCCCUGGGGUCGGCGCUGCAGCGGGCAACUCCUCGGGCACCCGGCAGCUAACGGACGCGGCGGCCGGCCCGAGCAGCAGCGGCGACAUGGGCAGCGCCAGCCCGGGCCCG
Molecule: long non-coding RNA, 448 nt
Filed under: Dasypus novemcinctus (nine-banded armadillo)
Lineage: Eukaryota; Metazoa; Chordata; Mammalia; Cingulata; Dasypodidae
Description: lncRNA (ENSDNOG00000050743.1)
Source: RNAcentral